AAGCUGCACAUGGUGGCUUGCACCUAUAGUCCUAACUACUCAGGAGACCGAGAUGGGAGGAUCACUUGAGCCCUGGAAAUCAAGGUUGCACCGAGCUAUGAUGGUGCCACUACACUUCAGCCUGGGUGAAAGAGCAGAGACCCUGUCUCUAGAAAAACAAAAAAAAGCACACCUACUUAGGUAAGUUAUGUAAUGUAGCAGGACACUCUGCUUUACAAGAGUUACCAAGAUCUCUCUAAAUACAAAAAUACAUUUCAUGGAAAGACUGCUGAAAACUAGGUCUAAUUAAACCACAAAUCCCAAAUACUUACAUACCAUUUGAGCUCUUUAAAGAGGGCUCCUAACAUUUAUUGUAACCAUCCUUUCUCCAUUCUGAAAUUUCACUAAUUUCAUAUAUAAAAUCUUUGUUUUGGAAACUAUUUCCGUUUUUAUUUUCAUAUUUUUAACAUGCAACCCAGAAAUACUAAUCUACGUAGUCAUCAUCUUGUGCUUGUAUCAGAUUUUCUUUUAGCAUAAAAUAACUAAAGUUUAUGGAAGUCAUCUUUGUGCCUUUCCCUAGUGCCAUUUCCUUCCUUUAUUCCUUUUUUCUCUCUUUUUUUUUUUUAAAGUUGGAGUCUUGCUCUGUCACCCAGGCUGGAGUGCAAUGGCAGGAUCUCGACUCACUGCAACCUUCACCUCCCGGGUUCAAGCAAUUCUCCUGCCUCAGCCUCCCAAGUAGCUGGGACUACAGGCACCUGCCACCACGCCUGGCUAAUUUUUGUAUUUUCAGUAGAGACAGGGUUUCACUGUAUUGGCCAGGCUGGUCUUGAACUCCUGACCUCGUGACCCGCCUGCCUCAGCCUCCCCAAAGUGCUGGGAUUACACCUUUGUUCCUUCUUUAAAAAGUAAUGGCUUUCAUCAUGAACUUAGUGUGUCUUUUCCUGUCCACAUUUUCACGGCAUGUGUGUAAAUUUCAUGAAUAGGGUUGUACGGCUACCAAAUUUUAUGUUAAUAGUAUACUUAAAAAUCUUUUAGGCUGGGCACGGUGGCUUACGCCUGUAAUCCUGGCACUAUGGGAGGCCGAGGUGAGCAGAUCACAAGGUCAGGAGUUCAAGACCAUCCUGACCAAUAUGGCGAAACCCCAUCUCUACUAAAAAUACAAAAACUAGCCGGGAAUGGUGGCGUGCGCCUAUAGUCCCAGCUACUCGGGAGGCUGAGGCAGGAGAAUCGCUUGAAUCCAGGAGCGGAGGCUGCAGUGAGCUGUGAUCAAGCCAUUGUGCUCCAGCC
This 1266-nucleotide long non-coding RNA is filed under the name Homo sapiens (human). RNAcentral's name for it is "novel transcript, antisense to XPO1". Lineage: Eukaryota; Metazoa; Chordata; Mammalia; Primates; Hominidae. The record is from RNAcentral.